Molecule: non-coding RNA, 115 nt
Organism: Aedes albopictus (Asian tiger mosquito)
Lineage: Eukaryota; Metazoa; Arthropoda; Insecta; Diptera; Culicidae
Source: Rfam
UGCCCAGCAACUCCUAUCCCUACCUCCGCUUGGCAUCGGCCGGACUGCGAGCAACCUUAGGGAAGAUCGGGUAACCAACCCCUGUAGCAACAGCGUCGUAGCCUGACAGGGAAGG